CCCAGUGUUUCACCACUGGUAUUUUAGGAAGGAAGGCAUGCGUGUAUGGUGUAUCCAUACAGGUAUGAAGCCCUUUCGACAAUGUACCGAAGACUUUAAAACAGUCGGGGUGGAAAUCGUGAGAUAGACACCCUCCCGAUAGUCUGAUUCGGGUGAGGGC
This 160-nucleotide non-coding RNA is filed under the name Candidatus Kuenenia stuttgartensis. Lineage: Bacteria; Pseudomonadati; Planctomycetota; Candidatus Brocadiia; Candidatus Brocadiales; Candidatus Brocadiaceae. The record is from RNAcentral.